GCGAGCGGCGGAUGGGUGAGUAACACGUGGGGAACCUGCCCCUAAGUCUGGGAUACCAUUUGGAAACAGGUGCUAAUACCGGAUAAUAAAGCAGAUCGCAUGAUCAGCUUUUGAAAGGCGGCGUAAGCUGUCGCUAAGGGAUGGCCCCGCGGUGCAUUAGCUAGUUGGUAAGGUAACGGCUUACCAAGGCGACGAUGCAUAGCCGAGUUGAGAGACUGAUCGGCCACAUUGGGACUGAGACACGGCCCAAACUCCUACGGGAGGCAGCAGUAGGGAAUCUUCCACAAUGGACGCAAGUCUGAUGGAGCAACGCCGCGUGAGUGAAGAAGGUUUUCGGAUCGUAAAGCUCUGUUGUUGGUGAAGAAGGAUAGAGGUAGUAACUGGCCUUUAUUUGACGGUAAUCAACCAGAAAGUCACGGCUAACUACGUGCCAGCAGCCGCGGUAAUACGUAGGUGGCAAGCGUUGUCCGGAUUUAUUGGGCGUAAAGCGAGCGCAGGCGGAAAAAUAAGUCUAAUGUGAAAGCCCUCGGCUUAACCGAGGAACUGCAUCGGAAACUGUUUUUCUUGAGUGCAGAAGAGGAGAGUGGAACUCCAUGUGUAGCGGUGGAAUGCGUAGAUAUAUGGAAGAACACCAGUGGCGAAGGCGGCUCUCUGGUCUGCAACUGACGCUGAGGCUCGAAAGCAUGGGUAGCGAACAGGA
RNAcentral lists this ribosomal RNA (700 nucleotides) under uncultured bacterium. RNAcentral's name for it is "bacterial SSU rRNA". It matches the Rfam family "Bacterial small subunit ribosomal RNA", at positions 91 to 777 of the family's 1533-position model. The record is from RNAcentral.